GGUGUUUCAGAGCCUGCUCCUGACUGCGGACCCCAUGGAGUCCUUCCCACUACAAUGAGCUGGGCUUUUCUUGGCACAUGAGGCUUAUACAGACCACUUCUCGACUGAUCCACCUGUGAGAAGAUCCAGACCUUUUCUGGUAGUCAUGGCCAGAAAGCAGCAUCAUAUGUACAGCUGAGGAGGGCUACAGGAGCCAGCUUUCCCAAGCUGGCAGGACUCCUGGACACAGCUUCCCCAGCCAGCCUCCCUGCAGGAUGAAGAUGCUACCGGUUCCUAUACCCGUCCUGCACACAGGGAGGUGUUGUAACAGCCGAAAAGCUGGGGUCUAGCCACAACUCUGCUGCAACUGCACCUACAUUCAGGGCUAAGCAAGAGGGCAGAGAGGUGGAUUAAUUUCUUCUAAAUCAUGAUUGCUAUUCUGCAGUGGUUUAGUGGAAAGAGCUUGCGGAUUGGAACAAAAGGUUUGAUUCUAGUCCUGAACACUUAUUAACUAUGAAGGUUCCUAUAGCAUUCUGUACUUCCCAGUGUGUAACUCUCAACCCAGCUGCAACUACUUUUUCAAUGACUCUUCUGGACUAGACUAUAAGCUCCUUGAACAAGGCAGACACUGCGCUUGCCUGAUUCACUACUAUAUUGCCAGGCAUAAGAGUUGCUAAAUAAAAAUGUGUUCGAUUGUACUAUUAUAAAACUGAUGUUGCUAAAAUGAUCAUUAUGAUGUUAUGUCACAUAUUUAAUAUCAUAUUGUGGUAUCAACAUAAACUCAUUAGUAAGCAGAACUAAAGACUUUAAGUCAAAGGAAACAAUGAAUGAAUGAAAAUUAAUGUUCUGAAGAAAACAUGGAUUUUUACCACCACUCCUACCAACAAAAAUCUAUUCAACUCUAUUCAAAGAUCCAGGUUUGCUAUCCAGAUACCUCUAAAAGAAGAAAAUACAGCAGUCUUAAGAAGAAUGCAUAUUUCCUCACGUUGUCAGCUUGACAUAUUCAGGACAGAAUCUCUCCUUCAGUGCUUAACAUUUUGAUUCAUAGACUGAGGUCUCAGAAGCUAAAAAAAUGGAAAUAUGUCAUCUAAAUGUCAGCACUGAUUUUAUGAUAUUCUAGAAGGAAGCAAAUGGGAACACAUGAGAGCUUAGGUGUCCUGUCUGAGAGUUCAGUGAACAGUGUCUUGGAAGAACCUGAGUAGAGUGUGUGUGAUAUCUUGGAAGGAUUAGAAAUUGGAGUAAUGAUCAUUUAUCUUGGUAAAAAGCCCUUAGCUUCUGUGUUAUUCACAGUUCUCCAGAGAGCAGACCAAUGGGAAAUAUAUCUAUAUCGAUAUAUGCAUAUAAAAUAAGAAAUUAGCUCAUGUGAUUAUGGAGGCUGAGAAAUCCCACGACCUGCCAUCUACAAGUUGGACUAGACUCUAAGCUCCUUGAACAAGGCAGACUAGGAAAGCUGGUGGUGUACUUCCAGUAUGAGCCCGAAGGCCUGAGAACUAGAGGAGCCAAUGGUGUAACUCCCAGUCUGAGUGCAGUAGAGGAUCAGAAGAGAUGUCCCAGCUCCAGCAGUGAGGGAGAAAAGAAGGACAAAUUCCUUCCUCUGCAUAUUGUUCUAUUCAGACCCUCAAUAGGUUAAAUGAUGCCCACUCUCAUUAAAGAGGACCAUCUACUUUACGGAACUGCUAAGUUUGACAUACAAAGGACCAAUGGGAUACAUUGCUGAUGAAGGAGAAGGAGGUCUAACCACUUUGAAAAACAAUUUGAAAUUCAACUGUGCAGAGAAAAUGACUGGUCAGGCCACUCACAGUGGGUCACUCUUGGAAUCCCUUGCUGAGGUGGGAGGACUGCUUGAGCUCAGGAGCUUGAGACCAACCUGGAAAACAUAAUGAGACUGAGACCUCGUCUCUUCUAAAAAGAAAAAAAAAUUAGCAGAGCACGGUGGCAUGUGCCUAUAGUCCCAGCUACUCUGGAGGGUGAGGCAUGAGGAUCAACUGAGCCCAGGAGUUGGAGGCUGCAGCAAGCUGUGAUCAUCACACUCUGUCCUGGACAACAGAGUGAGACCUGGUCUC
Molecule: long non-coding RNA, 2042 nt
Organism: Pan troglodytes (chimpanzee)
Lineage: Eukaryota; Metazoa; Chordata; Mammalia; Primates; Hominidae
Exons: 6
Source: RefSeq, a predicted model, not a curated record